RNAcentral lists this long non-coding RNA (227 nucleotides) under Solanum tuberosum (potato). RNAcentral describes it as "long non-coding RNA (STUB_LNC002837)". The record is from RNAcentral. Lineage: Eukaryota; Viridiplantae; Streptophyta; Magnoliopsida; Solanales; Solanaceae.
UCCUUCAAUGUUUAUUUUCGUGCAAAUGAAUAAAUACAUAAAUCAAAUGGUACUUUAGUUGUUUAAUACUUCAAUAAAAUCUAAAAUUUCGUCAUGUAAAUGGUAUACCACCUCAAGCAAUGUACCAAUAUUUCAAUAUUUUUUUAGUCAGUCAGUGUGCAUAUCAGCAUAUGCAAUUUGACGUUUAUGUUCAUCUAUUAGUACUCUUUUUAUUAGGUGUGUACAUG